Molecule: ribosomal RNA, 375 nt
Filed under: uncultured organism
Description: partial 16S ribosomal RNA
Rfam family: Bacterial small subunit ribosomal RNA
Source: RNAcentral
GGGAGGGGAGCAAGCGUUGUUCGGAAUUACUGGGCGUAAAGGGCGCGCAGGCGGACUGGGCAAGUCGGGUGUGAAAACCCGGGGCUCAACCCCGGGCCUGCACUUGAUACUGCCCCCGUCUUGAGUACGGGAGAGGAAAGCGGAAUCCCAGGUGUAGCGGUGAAAUGCGUAGAUAUCUGGGAGAACACCGGUGGCGAAGGCGGCUUUCUGGACCGAUACUGACGCUGAGGCGCGAAGGCUAGGGGAGCAAACAGGAUUAGAUACCCUGGUAGUCCUAGCGGUAAACGAUGGGCACUAGGUGUUGGAGGUCUUACCCCUCCAGUGCCGCAGUUAACGCAUUAAGUGCCCCGCCUGGGGAGUACGAUCGCAAGAUUG